Molecule: long non-coding RNA, 1024 nt
Filed under: Ananas comosus (pineapple)
Lineage: Eukaryota; Viridiplantae; Streptophyta; Magnoliopsida; Poales; Bromeliaceae
Description: long non-coding RNA (ACOM_LNC036750)
Source: RNAcentral
AAAAUAACCAAAUUGCCCCUAAUUCUUCUAUAAACAAAUAAUUUUUAAUAUAUUUCUGUCAUUUUAAAGGAUAUUUUCGGUAUAAAUUAUACAAAAUGGACGGAAUAGUGAUGGAACCCUGACGAAGGGAUGCUAAAUACAACAACUUAAAAUGUUGACGAGAUAAAUAUAUAUAUUUUUGAAAGUUAGGAAGAAAAAAUAAAAAAAAAGGUAUUUAUAAGGAGGUUUUCUGUAAUUUAGCCCUAUUAUUAUUAUUAGGAAAAACUUCAAAUACAACUCCUGUGGUUUCACACUUUCUCACUUUAGUACCCUGUGGUUUAAAGUGUAUCAAUUUAAUACCCUAUGGUUCCAUUUUUAUCUUUUUAUUAUCGAUUCCACUAAUUUUUUUCGUUAAAUCAGUGACAAAGUUAAAACUAAAGGGUACUAAAGUGAAUAUUCGAUAAAUCUAGGUGGGGUAUCUGAAGCUUUUUGUAUAUAAUUUAACGAAAUAUUACCGGAAAAGCUGACGAAAAGAUAAAAAUGAAACCACAGGACACUAACUUGAUAUUUUUUAAACUAUAGGGUACUAAAGUGAGAAAGUGCGAAACCAUAGGGAUGGUAUUUGAAGUUUAUCCUUAUUGUUAUUAUUAUUAUUAUUGUGUGUGUGUGUGUGCAUAAUUAGUUAAUUUGGAUUCGGCAAAUAUUCGGUAGAGUAUAAUACGCAUAAAAUUCGUUUUCUAAUUUUUAAAUUCGUUGAAAAAUUCGGCUUAAAAAACGAACUCGGUAUAAAAUACAAAAUAUAAUAUAUAAAAUAUAAGAUAAUCUAUAUUUAAAUAUAAAAAUUAUAAGUUUUUUAUUUAGAUUUUCAGUAAUUCGAAAAUAAUUCGUGAAUUAUUCGCAAUUAUUCGGCUAGCCUAAAAAUUUACGAAUAAUUUAUUUUCUUUGAAAAAAAUUCGUAAACAGACCAUUUAAUUUGAAUCUUUAAUAAUUCACAAAUAAUUUGCGAAUUAACUAACAAAGGGUAUGAAUCACAUGAUACAACAAA